UACGUAGGCAGCGAGCGUUGUUCGGAGUUACUGGGCGUAAAGGGUGUGUAGGCGGUCCUCUAAGUUUGGUGUGAAAUCUCCCGGCUCAACCGGGAGGGUGCGCCGAAAACUGGAGUGCUCGAGUAUGGGAGAGGUAAGCGGAAUUCCUGGUGUAGCGGUGAAAUGCGUAGAUAUCAGGAGGAACACCUGUGGUGUAGACAGUUUACUGGACCAUCACUGACGCUGAGACACGAAAGCGUGGGUAGCAAACAGG
RNAcentral lists this ribosomal RNA (253 nucleotides) under uncultured bacterium. RNAcentral describes it as "partial 16S ribosomal RNA". It matches the Rfam family "Bacterial small subunit ribosomal RNA", at positions 524 to 776 of the family's 1533-position model. The record is from RNAcentral.